GAUGAACGCUGGCGGCGUGCCUAAUACAUGCAAGUCGAGCAAACAGACGAGGAGCUUGCUCCUCUGACGUUAGCGGCGGACGGGUGAGUAACACGUGGAUAACCUACCUAUAAGACUGGGAUAACUUCGGGAAACCGGAGCUAAUACCGGAUAAUAUAUUGAACCGCAUGGUUCAAUAGUGAAAGACGGUUUUGCUGUCACUUAUAGAUGGAUCCGCGCCGCAUUAGCUAGUUGGUAAGGUAACGGCUUACCAAGGCGACGAUGCGUAGCCGACCUGAGAGGGUGAUCGGCCACACUGGAACUGAGACACGGUCCAGACUCCUACGGGAGGCAGCAGUAGGGAAUCUUCCGCAAUGGGCGAAAGCCUGACGGAGCAACGCCGCGUGAGUGAUGAAGGUCUUCGGAUCGUAAAACUCUGUUAUUAGGGAAGAACAAAUGUGUGAGUAACUAUGCACGUCUUGACGGUACCUAAUCAGAAAGCCACGGCUAACUACGUGC
Molecule: ribosomal RNA, 498 nt
Filed under: uncultured bacterium
Lineage: Bacteria
Description: partial 16S ribosomal RNA
Rfam family: Bacterial small subunit ribosomal RNA
Source: RNAcentral